CCGAUAUGGCGAGCUGAUCAGCCAUGCCGCGUGUGUGAGAAGGUCUUCGGAUUGUAAAGCACUUUAAGUUGGGAGGAAGGGCAGUAAGUUAAUACCUUGCUGUUUUGACGUUACCAACAGAAUAAGCACCGGCUAACUUCGUGCCAGCAGCCGCGGUAAU
Molecule: ribosomal RNA, 160 nt
Filed under: uncultured freshwater bacterium
Lineage: Bacteria
Description: partial 16S ribosomal RNA
Rfam family: Bacterial small subunit ribosomal RNA
Source: RNAcentral